This 423-nucleotide ribosomal RNA is filed under the name uncultured bacterium. RNAcentral's name for it is "partial 16S ribosomal RNA". It matches the Rfam family "Bacterial small subunit ribosomal RNA", at positions 360 to 775 of the family's 1533-position model. The record is from RNAcentral.
AAUCUUCCGCAAUGGACGAAGGUCUGACGGAGCAACGCCGCGUGAACGAUGAAGGUUUUCGGAUCGUAAAGUUCUGUUAUCAGGGAAGAACAAGUAUCGGAGUAACUGCCGGUACCUUGACGGUACCUGACCAGAAAGCCACGGCUAACUACGUGCCAGCAGACUCGGUAAUACGUAGGUGGCAAGCGUUGUUCGGAAUUAUUGGGCGUAAAGCGCGCGCAGGCGGUUUCUUAAGUCUGAUGUGAAAGCCCACGGCUCAACCGUGGAGGGUCAUUGGAAACUGGGAGGCUUGAGUGCAGAAGAGGAGAGCGGAAUUCCACGUGUAGCGGUGAAAUGCGUAGAGAUGUGGAGGAACACCAGUGGCGAAGGCGGCUCUCUGGUCUGUAACUGACGCUGAGGCGCGAAAGCGUGGGUAGCGAACAG